AAGUGAUAAGUGCGCCGCCUGGGGAGUACGGCCGCAAGGCUAAAACUCAAAGGAAUUGACGGGGGCUCACACAAGCGGUGGAGCAUGUGGAUUAAUUCGAAGCAACGCGAAGAACCUUACCUGGGUUGGAAAAGCACGGAUGCCCUUGCUGAAAGGCGAGUAAGCUGCCCUUCGGGGUGAAACGUGGUUCAGGUGCUGCAUGGCUGUCGUCAGCUCGUGCUGUGAAGUGUCGGGUUAAGUCCCUUAACGAGCGAAACCCCUGUCGCUAGUUGCCAGCGGUUCGGCCGGGAACUCUAGCGAGACCGCCGGCGUUAAGCCGGAGGAAGGUGGGGACGACGUCAAGUCCUCAUGGCCUUUAUGCCCAGGGCGUCACACGUGCUACAAUGGCCGCUACAGAGCGACGCGAUACCGCGAGGUGGAGCAAAUCGCAAAAAAGCGGCCCCAGUUCGGAUUGGAGUCUGCAAUUCGACUCCAUGAAGUUGGAAUCGCUAGUAAUCGCGUAUCAGCCAUGACGCGGUGAAUAUGUUCCUGAGCCUUGUACACACCGCCCGUCAAGUCAUGGAAGCUGGGAGCACCCGAAGUCCGUUUAGCUAACCCGCAAGGGAGGCGACGGCCGACGGUGAGUUCGGUGACUGGGACUAAGUCGUAACAAGGUAGCCGUAGGGGAACCUGCGGCUGGAUCACCUCCUUU
RNAcentral lists this ribosomal RNA (691 nucleotides) under Planctomycetota bacterium. RNAcentral's name for it is "bacterial SSU rRNA". It matches the Rfam family "Bacterial small subunit ribosomal RNA", at positions 855 to 1533 of the family's 1533-position model. Lineage: Bacteria; Pseudomonadati; Planctomycetota. The record is from RNAcentral.